GACGAACGCUGGCGGCGUGCUUAACACAUGCAAGUCGAGCGGUAAGGCCCUUUCGGGGGUACACGAGCGGCGAACGGGUGAGUAACACGUGGGUGACCUGCCCUCAGCUCUGGGAUAAGCCUGGGAAACCGGGUCUAAUACUGGAUAUGACUCCAUGACGCAUGUUGUGGGGUGGAAAGCCUUGUGCGGCUGAGGAUGGGCCCGCGGCCUAUCAGCUUGUUGGUGGGGUGANGGCCUACCAAGGCGACGACGGGUAGCCGGCCUGAGAGGGCGACCGGCCACACUGGGACUGAGACACGGCCCAGACUCCUACGGGAGGCAGCAGGUGGGGAAUCUUGCGCAAUGGGCGAAAGCCUGACGCAGCGACGCCGCGUGA
Molecule: ribosomal RNA, 376 nt
Filed under: uncultured bacterium
Lineage: Bacteria
Description: bacterial SSU rRNA
Rfam family: Bacterial small subunit ribosomal RNA
Source: RNAcentral